RNAcentral lists this ribosomal RNA (503 nucleotides) under Penicillium sp. N24. RNAcentral's name for it is "SSU rRNA". It matches the Rfam family "Eukaryotic small subunit ribosomal RNA", at positions 64 to 571 of the family's 1831-position model. Lineage: Eukaryota; Fungi; Ascomycota; Eurotiomycetes; Eurotiales; Aspergillaceae. The record is from RNAcentral.
UAUAAGCACUUGUACUGUGAAACUGCGAAUGGCUCAUUAAAUCAGUUAUCGUUUAUUUGAUAGUACCUUACUACAUGGAUACCUGUGGUAAUUCUAGAGCUAAUACAUGCUAAAAACCCCGACUUCAGGAAGGGGUGUAUUUAUUAGAUAAAAAACCAACGCCCUUCGGGGCUCCUUGGUGAAUCAUAAUAACUUAACGAAUCGCAUGGCCUUGCGCCGGCGAUGGUUCAUUCAAAUUUCUGCCCUAUCAACUUUCGAUGGUAGGAUAGUGGCCUACCAUGGUGGCAACGGGUAACGGGGAAUUAGGGUUCGAUUCCGGAGAGGGAGCCUGAGAAACGGCUACCACAUCCAAGGAAGGCAGCAGGCGCGCAAAUUACCCAAUCCCGAUACGGGGAGGUAGUGACAAUAAAUACUGAUACGGGGCUCUUUUGGGUCUCGUAAUUGGAAUGAGAACAAUUUAAAUCCCUUAACGAGGAACAAUUGGAGGGCAAGUCUGGGCCACG